AAGUCGAGCGAGAACCAGGGCUUCGGCUCUGGGGACAGCGGCGAACGGGUGAGUAACACGUGGGUAAUCUGCCCUCGGCAUCGGGAUAGCCCGGGGAAACCCGGAUUAAUACCGAAUAGCCUCCGGAGCCUUCGGGCGUCGGAGAAAAGGUAGCUUCGGCCUCUAGCCGAGGAUGAGCCCGCGGCGGAUUAGCUCGUUGGCGGGGUAACGGCCCACCAAGGCGACGAUCCGUAGCUAGUCUGAGAGGACGAUCAGCCACACUGGGACUGAGACACGGCCCAGACUCCUACGGGAGGCAGCAGUGGGGAAUCUUGCGCUAAUGCGGGAAACCGUGACGCAGCGACGCCGCGUGGGGGAAGAAGGCCUUCGGGUUGUAAACCUCUUUCAGGAGGGACGAAGCUACUCGGGUUAAUAGCCCAGAGGGUGACGGUACCUCCAGAAGAAGCCCCGGCUAACUACGUGCCAGCAGCCGCGGUAAUACGUAGGGGGCGAGCGUUGUCCGGAUUUAUUGGGCGUAAAGAGCGUGUAGGCGGCUUGGUAGGUCCGCUGUGAAAACUCGAGGCUCAACCUCGAGAUGUCGGCGGAAACCACUUGGCUAGAGUCCGGAAGAGGAGAGUGGAAUUCCCGGUGUAGCGGUGAAAUGCGCAGAUAUCGGGGAAGAACACCUAUGGCGAAGGCAGCUCUCUGGGACGGUACUGACGCUGAGACGCGAAAGCGUGGGGAAGCAAACAGGAUUAGAUACCCUGGUAGUCCACGCCGUAAACGAUGGGUGCUAGGUGUGGGGCGGUGUCGACUCCUUCCGUGCCAAACUAACGCAUUAAGCACCC
This 827-nucleotide ribosomal RNA is filed under the name uncultured Actinomycetes bacterium. Its description in RNAcentral is "bacterial SSU rRNA". It matches the Rfam family "Bacterial small subunit ribosomal RNA", at positions 59 to 869 of the family's 1533-position model. The record is from RNAcentral. Lineage: Bacteria; Bacillati; Actinomycetota; Actinomycetes.